Molecule: ribosomal RNA, 253 nt
Filed under: uncultured bacterium
Lineage: Bacteria
Description: partial 16S ribosomal RNA
Rfam family: Bacterial small subunit ribosomal RNA
Source: RNAcentral
UACAGAGGUCUCAAGCGUUGUUCGGAUUCAUUGGGCGUAAAGGGUGUGUAGGUGGCGCGCUAAGUCGGGUGUGAAAUUUCGGAGCUUAACUCCGAAACUGCAUUCGAUACUGGCGUGCUUGAGGACUGGAGAGGAGACUGGAAUUUACGGUGUAGCAGUGAAAUGCGUAGAUAUCGUAAGGAAGACCAGUGGCGAAGGCGGGUCUCUGGACAGUAACUGACGCUGAGGAGCGAAAGCGUGGGGAGCGAACAGG